RNAcentral lists this ribosomal RNA (253 nucleotides) under uncultured bacterium. Its description in RNAcentral is "partial 16S ribosomal RNA". It matches the Rfam family "Bacterial small subunit ribosomal RNA", at positions 524 to 776 of the family's 1533-position model. The record is from RNAcentral.
UACGUAGGUGGCAAGCGUUAUCCGGAUUUAUUGGGCGUAAAGGGAACGCAGGCGGUCUUUUAAGUCUGAUGUGAAAGCCUUCGGCUUAACCGGAGUAGUGCAUUGGAAACUGGUUGACUUGAGUGCAGAAGAGGGAAGUGGAAUUCCAUGUGUAGCGGUGAAAUGCGUAGAGAUAUGGAGGAACACCAGUGGCGAAGGCGGCUCUCUGGUCUGUAACUGACGCUGAGGUUCGAAAGCGUGGGUAGCAAACAGG